This 497-nucleotide ribosomal RNA is filed under the name uncultured bacterium. RNAcentral describes it as "partial 16S ribosomal RNA". It matches the Rfam family "Bacterial small subunit ribosomal RNA", at positions 28 to 507 of the family's 1533-position model. The record is from RNAcentral.
GAUGAACGCUGGCGGCGUGCCUAAUACAUGCAAGUCGAGCGAACAGACGAGGAGCUUGCUCCUCUGACGUUAGCGGCGGACGGGUGAGUAACACGUGGAUAACCUACCUAUAAGACUGGGAUAACUUCGGGAAACCGGAGCUAAUACCGGAUAAUAUAUUGAACCGCAUGGUUCAAUAGUGAAAGACGGCUUUGCUGUCACUUAUAGAUGGAUCCGCGCCGCAUUAGCUAGUUGGUAAGGUAACGGCCUACCAAGGCGACGAUGCGUAGCCGACCUGAGAGGGUGGUCGGCCACACUGGAACUGAGCCACGGUCCAGACUCCUACGGGAGGCAGCAGUAGGGAAUCUUCCGCAGUGGGCGAAAGCCUGACGGAGCAACGCCGCGUGAGUGAUGAAGGUCUUCGGAUCGUAAAACUCUGUUAUUAGGGAAGAACAAAUGUGUAAGUAACUAUGCACGUCUUGACGGUACCUAAUCAGAAAGCCACGGCUAACUACGUG